AGGUAGGGUGGCCGAGAGUUAGGUGGCAGGCUGUANUCCUGCUAACAUGGGUUUAAAUCCUGUUUCUACC
Molecule: transfer RNA, 70 nt
Filed under: Rhacodactylus auriculatus (New Caledonia bumpy gecko)
Lineage: Eukaryota; Metazoa; Chordata; Lepidosauria; Squamata; Diplodactylidae
Description: partial tRNA-Tyr
Rfam family: tRNA
About the family: Transfer RNA (tRNA) molecules are approximately 80 nucleotides in length.
Source: RNAcentral